UACAGAGGUCUCAAGCGUUGUUCGGAUUCACUGGGCGUAAAGGGCGUGUAGGCGGUCAGGUAAGUGGGAUGUGAAAUGCCCCGGCUCACCCGGGGACCGGCAUCCCAUACUGCUUGGCUUGAGUACGGGAGAGGAUGUGGGAAUUCCUGGUGUAGCGGUGAAAUGCGUAGAUAUCAGGAGGAACACCGGUGGCGAAGGCGCACAUCUGGCCCGAUACUGACGCUGAGGCGCGAAAGCUAGGGGAGCAAACGGG
Molecule: ribosomal RNA, 253 nt
Filed under: uncultured bacterium
Lineage: Bacteria
Description: partial 16S ribosomal RNA
Rfam family: Bacterial small subunit ribosomal RNA
Source: RNAcentral